UCUAUCGGGGGCGUUGAAGGUUCCCCAACGGUUCGCGCCAAGGGGAUGAAAAGGGAACACGGUGAGGCGUACCCAACAGGGACCGAUGCCGUGGCUGCCCCCGCAACUGUAAGCGGAGAGCCGCAUCCGAACUGCCACUGACCGCAAGGUUGGGAAGGCCGGAUGCGGCGGCGACCCGCGAGCCAGGAGACCUGCCCUCGACAUUCAUUUCAA
This 213-nucleotide non-coding RNA is filed under the name Devosia geojensis. Lineage: Bacteria; Pseudomonadati; Pseudomonadota; Alphaproteobacteria; Hyphomicrobiales; Devosiaceae. The record is from RNAcentral.